Molecule: ribosomal RNA, 406 nt
Filed under: uncultured bacterium
Lineage: Bacteria
Description: partial 16S ribosomal RNA
Rfam family: Bacterial small subunit ribosomal RNA
Source: RNAcentral
AUUGAACGCUGGCGGCAGGCCUAACACAUGCAAGUCGAGCGAGCGGCGGACGGGUGCGUAAUGUCUAGGAAACUGCCCGCGGGAGGGGGGUAACUACUGGGAACGGUAGGUAAUACCCCACACCCUCACAGGUGCCCCGAUGGGAUUUGCUAGUGGGUGGGGUAACGGUUCACCUAGGCGACGAUCCCUAGCUGGUCUGAGAGGAUGAGCAGCCACACUGGAACUGAGACACGGUCCAGACUCCUACGGGAGGCAGCAGUGGGGAAUAUUGCACAAUGGGCGCAAGCCUGAUGCAGCCAUGCCGCGUGUGUGAAGAAGGCCUUCGGGUUGUAAAGCACGUUCAGCGGGGAGGCGUUACCCGCAGAAGAAGCACCGGCUAACUCCGUGCCAGCAGCCGCGGUAAUAC